AUUGAACGCUGGCGGCAGGCCUAACACAUGCAAGUCGAACGCGUGGCGGACGGGUGAGUAAUGUCUGGGAAACUGCCCGAUGGAGGGGGAUAACUACUGGAAACGGUAGCUAAUACCGCAUACCAUCGGAUGUGCCCAGAUGGGGUUAGCUAGUAGGUGGGGUAACGGCUCACCUAGGCGACGCUCCCUAGCUGGUCUUAGAGGAUGACCAUCCACACUGGAACUGAGAAACGGUCCAGACUCCGACGGGAGGCAGCAGUGGGGAAUAUUGCACAAGGGGCGCAAGCCUGAUGCAGCCAUGCCGCGUGUAUUAAGAAGGCCUUCGGGUUGUAAAGUACUUUCAGCGAGGAGGCGUUACUCGCAGAAGAAGCACCGGCUAACUCCGGGCCAGCCGCCGCGGUAAUAC
Molecule: ribosomal RNA, 406 nt
Filed under: uncultured bacterium
Lineage: Bacteria
Description: partial 16S ribosomal RNA
Rfam family: Bacterial small subunit ribosomal RNA
Source: RNAcentral